RNAcentral lists this ribosomal RNA (245 nucleotides) under uncultured bacterium. RNAcentral describes it as "partial 16S ribosomal RNA". It matches the Rfam family "Bacterial small subunit ribosomal RNA", at positions 524 to 768 of the family's 1533-position model. The record is from RNAcentral.
UACGUAGGUGGCAAGCGUUGUCCGGAAUUACUGGGCGUAAAGGGCGUGUAGGCGGUCCUUUAAGUCAGACGUGAAAUCCCUGGGCUUAACACAGGAACUGCGUUUGAAACUGGAGGACUUGAGGACCGGAGAGGGUAGCGGAAUUCCCAGUGUAGCGGUGAAAUGCGUAGAUAUUGGGAGGAACACCAGUGGCGAAGGCGACUACCUGGACGGCACCUGACGCUGAGGCGCGAAAGCUAGGGGAG